This 981-nucleotide long non-coding RNA is filed under the name Olea europaea subsp. europaea. The record is from RNAcentral. Lineage: Eukaryota; Viridiplantae; Streptophyta; Magnoliopsida; Lamiales; Oleaceae.
UACCGCUAUGCUUUACGUGAUCUUUUAGUAUUCAUAAAUCUUUAAUGAAUUUUUAUAUGUUCGCAUUCGUCAUAGAAAUAUAGUCGGGUCACAUGUAAAAAUAGGUUUAACUCUACUCGAGAGAGAUUGUUAAACAAAUUAGGAAUAUUAGUCUUCAUAAUUGAAUCGUGUUGUCAAUUUUAUAAAAUUCGGAUUAAAGAGGAUUGAUAUAAGGGGAUUCGGGAUCCUAGUACGCAUUUCGUUAUCAUAUUUUUAUAAAACUUGCAUUUAGUUAUAAUCAAGCGUUUAAUUGAGUUAAUUUAAGCUUUAUAUCUAUAAGUAAGUUAUUAAAUCACACUAUAGUUAGCGAAAAAUCACGAAUUUCUAUUGUUUUGGUUAAGGCGAAGAUAAUUUAAAUUUAAACUAAUACAAUCUCUGUGGGACGAUACUUGGACUCAAAAGGUCCACUUUAUUACUUGAACGCGACCCAUGCACUUGCGGUGUAGGAUUUUAGCGAACAGGCGCCGAGGCAACACUUUGCGAGGAGAAAUUUUACACUCUCUGGACAUCUUUUCUUCGGCCCAACAUGUCUUCUAAUAUCCCUAAACUCCAAAGAACUAUAUAUACCAACAAGAAGACAAGAAUUAGGAGGGAAGAACGAACAGUGUAAACCUGGGAGCUACCGACAAGAACAUAGACCUUGAAUUGGGGAAUUUUUUGGGGCCGGCAAAGACAAAAUUUAGAAGGUAGAAAAAUCUUCAUCAAGAGGCAAGGAAGUUGGCCAACACACGAGAAGAAUCUGAAGGAUAUGGCUAAAGAAUUAAGAAAGAAAUCAAUUGAGAUGGAUUGGCAACCAGUGGAGAAGGAUUGACUUUGCACAAAAAGAGUUUUUCUAUUCCUUUCUUCUCUAUGUGUUUUCUUUGUAUUUUAUUCAUGUCAAUUAUUUCAAUUAUGCACUAAGCUUUAAUUCGAGGUGUUUGAUGUAACUUAUUAAGAUAUGUU